This 354-nucleotide RNase MRP RNA is filed under the name Ectocarpus siliculosus. RNAcentral's name for it is "RNase MRP". It matches the Rfam family "RNase MRP". Rfam says of the family: RNase MRP is an enzymatically active ribonucleoprotein with two distinct roles in eukaryotes. In mitochondria it plays a direct role in the initiation of mitochondrial DNA replication. In the nucleus it is involved in precursor rRNA processing, where it cleaves the internal transcribed spacer 1 between 18S and 5.8S rRNAs. The record is from Rfam by way of RNAcentral. Lineage: Eukaryota; Phaeophyceae; Ectocarpales; Ectocarpaceae.
GGAACGCAGCACGGACUGCUAUCGGGCGGCCUCCUCCUGCACCCCAGAGGCUGCAACCCCUCCAGCCCUGGGAGGAGGAGGUGUCUAGCCUGGGGAAAUUCCCCGGAUACUUGGGCAGAGAGUGCCAUCCGGAACCCGGAACAACCCUCGAGCGCCCCUGGCAACAUGCGGCGUAGAUGAGUGGUGGUGGCAGGUGGGGUGUCGUCGCUCUCGGGCGGCGUGCGCUCCUCCUGCUUCGCCUCUCGGAGUCCUAGCCGGGCGCUCGGGCCGUUUUCAUCACAGCAUAGAAAUGCAGUCAGCGUCGGCGCCUCCGCCGUGCCGGCGCCAACUCGACGGGGAUUACCUGCCGCGUUU